CAUACCUAUUCGAAGGGAUAGGGUCGGUUUGGCCGGAUUUCACACAGGUGUUGCAUGGCUGUCGUCAGCUCGCGUCGUGAGAUGUUGGGUUAAGUCCCGCAACGAGCGCAACCCUCAUCCUUAGUUACCAUCAGGUUAUGCUGGGGACUUUAAGGAAACUGCCAGUGAUAAACUGGAGGAAGGUGGGGAUGAUGUCAAGUCAUCAUGGCCCUUAUGGAGUGGGCUACACACGUGCUACAAUGGUGAUUACAAUGGGCUGCAAGGUCGCAAGGCUGAGCUAAUCCUAAAAAAUCAUCUCAGUUCGGAUUGUUAUCUGCAACCCGAGAGCAUGAAGUUGGAAUUGCUAGUAAUCGUGGAUCAGCAUGCCACGGUGAAUACGUUCUCGGGUCUUGUACACACUGCCCGUCACGCCAUGGGAAUUGGUUUCACUCGAAGCU
This 437-nucleotide ribosomal RNA is filed under the name Wolbachia pipientis. RNAcentral describes it as "bacterial SSU rRNA". It matches the Rfam family "Bacterial small subunit ribosomal RNA", at positions 992 to 1428 of the family's 1533-position model. The record is from RNAcentral. Lineage: Bacteria; Pseudomonadati; Pseudomonadota; Alphaproteobacteria; Rickettsiales; Anaplasmataceae.